CAGCAGCCACGGUAAAACGUAGGGUGCAAGCGUUAAUCGGAAUUACUGGGCGUAAAGCGUGCGCAGGCGGUUAUAUAAGACAGAUGUGAAAUCCCCGGGCUCAACCUGGGAACUGCAUUUGUGACUGUAUAGCUAGAGUACGGCAGAGGGGGAUGGAAUUCCGCGUGUAGCAGUGAAAUGCGUAGAUAUGCGGAGGAACACCGAUGGCGAAGGCAAUCCCCUGGGCCUGUACUGACGCUCAUGCACGAAAGCGUGGGGAGCAAACAGGAUUAGAGACCCCAGUAGUCCCUGUCUCUUAUAC
This 301-nucleotide ribosomal RNA is filed under the name uncultured bacterium. RNAcentral's name for it is "partial 16S ribosomal RNA". It matches the Rfam family "Bacterial small subunit ribosomal RNA", at positions 509 to 807 of the family's 1533-position model. The record is from RNAcentral.